Molecule: ribosomal RNA, 475 nt
Filed under: uncultured bacterium
Lineage: Bacteria
Description: SSU rRNA
Rfam family: Bacterial small subunit ribosomal RNA
Source: RNAcentral
AGGACGAACGCUGGCGGCGUGCUUAACACAUGCAAGUCGAGCGGAAAGGCCCUUCGGGGUACUCGAGCGGCGAACGGGUGAGUAACACGUGAGCAACCUGCCCUCAGCUCUGGGAUAGCUCCGGGAAACCGGAAUUAAUACCGGAUAUGACCCUGACUGACAUCGGUCAGGGUGGAAAGGAUUCCGGCUGAGGAUGGACUCGCGGCCUAUCAGCUAGUUGGUGGAGUAACGGCCCACCAAGGCGACGACGGGUAGCCGGCCUGAGAGGGCGACCGGCCACACUGGGACUGAGACACGGCCCAGACUCCUACGGGAGGCAGCAGUGGGGAAUCUUGCGCAAUGGGCGAAAGCCUGACGCAGCGACGCCGCGUGGGGGAUGAAGGCCUUCGGGUUGUAAACCCCUUUCAGCAGGGACGAAGCGAAAGUGACGGUACCUGCAGAAGAAGCGCCGGCUAACUACGUGCCAGCAGCCGCC